CGUUAUUAGCGGGCGCGAUUCGCCCUUAGAGUUUGAUCAUGGCUCAGGACGAACGCUGGCGGCGUGCCUAACACAUGCAAGUCGAACGAGGCCACUCCUUCGGGAGUGAGUCGAGUGGCGGACGGGUGAGUAACACGUGAGCAAUCUACCUUUGUGCGGGGGAUAACCCAGGGAAACUUGGGCUAAUACCGCAUGGACAAGAGAUCCGAGUGGGUUUUUUGGGAAACGUGGCCUCUUAACAAUGCUACGGUGCAAGGAGGAGCUCGCGGGCUAUCAGCUAGUUGGUGAGGUAACGGCUCACCAAGGCAGCGACGGCUACGGGGUCUGAGAGGACGACCCCGCACAUUGGAACUGAGACACGGUCCAGACUCCUACGGGAGGCAGCAGUGGGGAAUUUUGGGCAAUGGCCGAAAGGCUGACCCAGCGACGCCGCGUGCGGGAUGAAGGCUUUCGGGUCGUAAAACUCUGUUGUUAGGGAAGAACAAGUACGAGAGUAACUGCUCGUACCUUGACGGUACCUAACCAGAAAGCCACGGCUAACUACGUGCUAGCAGCCGCGGUAAUAC
Molecule: ribosomal RNA, 566 nt
Filed under: uncultured bacterium
Lineage: Bacteria
Description: bacterial SSU rRNA
Rfam family: Bacterial small subunit ribosomal RNA
Source: RNAcentral